GGCUUGAUGGUCUAGUGGUAUGAUUCGCGCUUAGGGUAAACCCUGGGUUGAUUGCGCGAGGUCCCGGGUUCGACUCCCGGUUAAGCCC
RNAcentral lists this transfer RNA (88 nucleotides) under Pseudovirgaria hyperparasitica. RNAcentral describes it as "tRNA-Pro". It matches the Rfam family "tRNA". From Rfam's summary of the family: Transfer RNA (tRNA) molecules are approximately 80 nucleotides in length. Their secondary structure includes four short double-helical elements and three loops (D, anti-codon, and T loops). Lineage: Eukaryota; Fungi; Ascomycota; Dothideomycetes; Acrospermales; Acrospermaceae. The record is from RNAcentral.